CUGGGGUUCCGGGCAGUCGUGGACGGCCGCCGACGCGGUGAAGCUGUGGGUGGACGAGAAGCAGAACUACCAUCUUGACAGCAACACCUGCGACGCCGGCAAGGUGUGCGGGCACUACACGCAGGUGGUGUGGCGCAAGUCGACCCGCAUCGGCUGCGCGCGCGUGGUCUGCACGGGGAACCGGGGCGUCUUCAUCACCUGCAACUACAAUCCCCCGGGCAACUUCAACGGCGAGCGCCCGUUCGCGUUCCUCACCCUUGACGCCGAAGCCUAGUACGUGCGAGUGAGUGUGAUCAUACAUGCAUACGUACGUGCGUGUGUUUAUGUUUGUGUGGUUUGAAUAUUUAUACGUCUACAAAUGUUACGUACGUACGUAAAUAAGCACACAUUCCGGCCUGCAUGUAUCCAUGCGGCUCUGUGGAGCGUGUAAAUGUAUGCAAACAUCUUUACUUUUGUUUUGUUGUUCAAAACUUGGACCUAGCCAAACAAAUUGUGAACCCUUGAAAAAAAUGAUACCCCCUUCGUCCUAUAAUGUA
RNAcentral lists this long non-coding RNA (536 nucleotides) under Triticum aestivum (bread wheat). RNAcentral's name for it is "long non-coding RNA (TAES_LNC017716)". Lineage: Eukaryota; Viridiplantae; Streptophyta; Magnoliopsida; Poales; Poaceae. The record is from RNAcentral.